RNAcentral lists this ribosomal RNA (1544 nucleotides) under Bifidobacterium pseudocatenulatum. RNAcentral's name for it is "bacterial SSU rRNA". It matches the Rfam family "Bacterial small subunit ribosomal RNA". The record is from RNAcentral. Lineage: Bacteria; Bacillati; Actinomycetota; Actinomycetes; Bifidobacteriales; Bifidobacteriaceae.
GCAGAGUUCUCGGAGUCACGAAGAGUUUGAUCCUGGCUCAGGAUGAACGCUGGCGGCGUGCUUAACACAUGCAAGUCGAACGGGAUCCAUCAGGCUUUGCUUGGUGGUGAGAGUGGCGAACGGGUGAGUAAUGCGUGACCGACCUGCCCCAUACACCGGAAUAGCUCCUGGAAACGGGUGGUAAUGCCGGAUGCUCCGACUCCUCGCAUGGGGUGUCGGGAAAGAUUUCAUCGGUAUGGGAUGGGGUCGCGUCCUAUCAGGUAGUCGGCGGGGUAACGGCCCACCGAGCCUACGACGGGUAGCCGGCCUGAGAGGGCGACCGGCCACAUUGGGACUGAGAUACGGCCCAGACUCCUACGGGAGGCAGCAGUGGGGAAUAUUGCACAAUGGGCGCAAGCCUGAUGCAGCGACGCCGCGUGCGGGAUGACGGCCUUCGGGUUGUAAACCGCUUUUGAUCGGGAGCAAGCCUUCGGGUGAGUGUACCUUUCGAAUAAGCACCGGCUAACUACGUGCCAGCAGCCGCGGUAAUACGUAGGGUGCAAGCGUUAUCCGGAAUUAUUGGGCGUAAAGGGCUCGUAGGCGGUUCGUCGCGUCCGGUGUGAAAGUCCAUCGCUUAACGGUGGAUCUGCGCCGGGUACGGGCGGGCUGGAGUGCGGUAGGGGAGACUGGAAUUCCCGGUGUAACGGUGGAAUGUGUAGAUAUCGGGAAGAACACCAAUGGCGAAGGCAGGUCUCUGGGCCGUUACUGACGCUGAGGAGCGAAAGCGUGGGGAGCGAACAGGAUUAGAUACCCUGGUAGUCCACGCCGUAAACGGUGGAUGCUGGAUGUGGGGCCCGUUCCACGGGUUCCGUGUCGGAGCUAACGCGUUAAGCAUCCCGCCUGGGGAGUACGGCCGCAAGGCUAAAACUCAAAGAAAUUGACGGGGGCCCGCACAAGCGGCGGAGCAUGCGGAUUAAUUCGAUGCAACGCGAAGAACCUUACCUGGGCUUGACAUGUUCCCGACAGCCGUAGAGAUAUGGCCUCCCUUCGGGGCGGGUUCACAGGUGGUGCAUGGUCGUCGUCAGCUCGUGUCGUGAGAUGUUGGGUUAAGUCCCGCAACGAGCGCAACCCUCGCCCUGUGUUGCCAGCACGUCAUGGUGGGAACUCACGGGGGACCGCCGGGGUCAACUCGGAGGAAGGUGGGGAUGACGUCAGAUCAUCAUGCCCCUUACGUCCAGGGCUUCACGCAUGCUACAAUGGCCGGUACAACGGGAUGCGACACGGCGACGUGGAGCGGAUCCCUGAAAACCGGUCUCAGUUCGGAUUGGAGUCUGCAACCCGACUCCAUGAAGGCGGAGUCGCUAGUAAUCGCGGAUCAGCAACGCCGCGGUGAAUGCGUUCCCGGGCCUUGUACACACCGCCCGUCAAGUCAUGAAAGUGGGUAGCACCCGAAGCCGGUGGCCUAACCUUUUUGGAUGGAGCCGUCUAAGGUGAGACUCGUGAUUGGGACUAAGUCGUAACAAGGUAGCCGUAGUCCUGUGUGAAGUGAUCCGCUAAUCGUCGAC